Molecule: ribosomal RNA, 492 nt
Filed under: uncultured bacterium
Lineage: Bacteria
Description: partial 16S ribosomal RNA
Rfam family: Bacterial small subunit ribosomal RNA
Source: RNAcentral
AGUGAACGCUGGCGGUAGGCCUAACACAUGCAAGUCGAACGGCAGCACAGUAAGAGCUUGCUCUUACGGGUGGCGAGUGGCGGACGGGUGAGGAAUACAUCGGAAUCUACUUUUUCGUGGGGGAUAACGUAGGGAAACUUACGCUAAUACCGCAUACGACCUACGGGUGAAAGCAGGGGAUCUUCGGACCUUGCGCGAUUGAAUGAGCCGAUGUCGGAUUAGCUAGUUGGCGGGGUAAAGACCCACCAAGGCGACGAUCCGUAGCUGGUCUGAGAGGAUGAUCAGCCACAUUGGAACUGAGACACGGUCCAGACUCCUACGGGAGGCAGCAGUGGGGAAUAUUGGACAAUGGGCGCAAGCCUGAUCCAGCCAUACCGCGUGGGUGAAGAAGGCCUUCGGGUUGUAAAGCCCUUUUGUUGGGAAAGAAAAGCAGCAGGUUAAUACCCCGCUGUUCUGACGGUACCCAAAGAAUAAGCACCGGCUAACUUCGUG